This 498-nucleotide ribosomal RNA is filed under the name uncultured bacterium. RNAcentral's name for it is "partial 16S ribosomal RNA". It matches the Rfam family "Bacterial small subunit ribosomal RNA", at positions 28 to 523 of the family's 1533-position model. The record is from RNAcentral.
GAUGAACGCUAGCGGCAGGCCUAAUACAUGCAAGUCGAACGAUAGAAGAGGGCUUGCUCUCUUCGAAAGUGGCGCACGGGUGCGUAACGCGUAUGCAACCUACCUUAAUCAGGGGGAUAGCCCGAAGAAAUUCGGAUUAACACCGCAUAAAAUCACAGUACAGCAUUGUACAAUGAUCAAAUAUUUAUAGGAUUAAGAUGGGCAUGCGUGACAUUAGCUAGUUGGCGGGGUAACGGCCCACCAAGGCGACGACGUCUAGGGGAUCUGAGAGGAUGACCCUCCACACUGGUACUGAGACACGGACCAGACUCCUACGGGAGGCAGCAGUAAGGAAUAUUGGUCAAUGGAGGCAACUCUGAACCAGCCAUGCCGCGUGCAGGAAGACAGCCCUCUGGGUCGUAAACUGCUUUUAUUCGGGAAUAAACCUACUUACGUGUAAGUAGCUGAAUGUACCGAAGGAAUAAGGAUCGGCUAACUCCGUGCCAGCCGCCGCGGUAA